RNAcentral lists this ribosomal RNA (442 nucleotides) under uncultured organism. RNAcentral's name for it is "bacterial SSU rRNA". It matches the Rfam family "Bacterial small subunit ribosomal RNA", at positions 28 to 507 of the family's 1533-position model. The record is from RNAcentral.
GAUGAACGCUGGCGGCGUGCCUAAUACAUGCAAGUCGUGCGGAAAGGCCACUUCGGUGGUACUCGAGCGGCGGACGGCAGAGUAACGCGUAGGAACAUACCCCAAACUGAGGGAUAACUGCUCGAAAGAGUAGCUAAUACCGCAUGUGAUCUUCGGAUUAAAGCUUCGGCGGUUUGGGAAUGGCCUGCGUCCGAUUAGCUAGUUGGUGAGGUAAUAGCUCACCAAGGCGACGAUCGGUAGCUGGUCUGAGAGGAUGAUCAGCCUGACUGGAACUGAGAACGGUCCAGACUCCUACGGGAGGCAGCAGUAGGGAAUUUUCCACAAUGGGCGAAAGCCUGAUGGAGCAACGCCGCGUGCAGGAUGAAUGCCUUCGGGUUGUAAACUGCUUUUAUUAGUGAAGAAUAUGACGGUAACUAAUGAAUAAGGGUCGGCUAACUACGUG